This 254-nucleotide ribosomal RNA is filed under the name uncultured bacterium. RNAcentral describes it as "partial 16S ribosomal RNA". It matches the Rfam family "Bacterial small subunit ribosomal RNA", at positions 524 to 776 of the family's 1533-position model. The record is from RNAcentral.
UACGGAGGGGGCAAGCGUUGUUCGGAAUUACUGGGCGUAAAGGGCGCGCAGGCGGCUGCUCAAGUCAGGCGUGAAAGGCCUGGGCUCAACCCGGGAAUUGCGCUUGAGACUGGGCUGGCUUGAGUGCGGGAGAGGAUGGUGGAAUUCCCAGUGUAGAGGUGAAAUUCGUAGAUAUCAGGAGGAACACCGGUGGCGAAGGCGGCUCUCUGGACGGUGACUGACGCUGAGACGCGAAAGCGUGGGGAGCAAACAGG